CGUAGGGUGCGAGCGUUAAUCGGAAUUACUGGGCGUAAAGCGUGCGCAGGCGGUUUGUUAAGAUAGGCGUGAAAUCCCCGGGCUCAACCUGGGAACUGCGCUUAUGACUGGCAAGCUAGAGUACGGCAGAGGGGGGUGGAAUUCCACGUGUAGCAGUGAAAUGCGUAGAGAUGUGGAGGAACACCAAUGGCGAAGGCAGCCCCCUGGGUCGAUACUGACGCUCAUGCACGGAAGCGUGGGUAGCAAACAGGAUUAGAUACCCUGGUAGUCCACGCCCUAAACGAUGUCAACUAGGUGUUGGGAGGGUAAAACCUUUUAGUACCGGAGCUAACGCGUGAAGUUGACCGCCUGGGGAGUACGGCCGCAAGGUUA
This 372-nucleotide ribosomal RNA is filed under the name uncultured organism. RNAcentral's name for it is "bacterial SSU rRNA". It matches the Rfam family "Bacterial small subunit ribosomal RNA", at positions 526 to 896 of the family's 1533-position model. The record is from RNAcentral.